RNAcentral lists this unclassified non-coding RNA (401 nucleotides) under Hevea brasiliensis (rubber tree). Lineage: Eukaryota; Viridiplantae; Streptophyta; Magnoliopsida; Malpighiales; Euphorbiaceae. The record is from RNAcentral.
ACGUUGUAAACGACGGUGAUACAGAGGGAGCAACUAAGGCAACAAGCGAUUUCCUCGCUGAGGCGGAGAUCCUCCAUGGUGAUUUUAAAUAGGUCGCCGAAGGGCACAGAUAGGUGUAUGCUUGAAGCUUCUCAUUUCAUUCCGUGUCCUCUAUCUCCACAUCGUUGUACGACAUCGUUUCCAAGCCCUUUGAUUCGUUUGCUCUGCUUUUUCUCUGUGUAUCGUUUGAUCAGAGAAAGGAAGAAUAUGAGUCGGCUUGAAAUUUUAUGGACAGAUCUGGAUGAUUCGAUUCGCUUUCAUUUGCUCAUAUGAAUAUGGAUUAUGUUCUUCAGAAUAAUGUCGGUUUUGUGAAGAUGGGCUUCGGCAUUAUAAAAUUUAUAAUUGCGCUCUUUGGAUGCUGG